Gasterosteus aculeatus aculeatus (three-spined stickleback) is the source of this 1025-nucleotide long non-coding RNA. Lineage: Eukaryota; Metazoa; Chordata; Actinopteri; Perciformes; Gasterosteidae. The record is from Ensembl.
UUUUGUCUCCACAUUCCUCUCUGAAUGCAGGACAGGAGGCGGAUUAAUAUUUGAUACUCCACACUGGCGACGUCAUGCAUUUGGCUUCGCUGCUCAAAACAACAGGACAUCAGGUGACUCAUCACUUGUUGUACAGUCCCAGUCCGAACUGCCUGUGAUUACAGUAAACUCCGGCGUCGGUACAUUCCUGCUCUUCCUGGUUUUGUUUGCUGGGACCCGAGCGGGCUCGGGGACAGACUGGGGACAGACUGGCCCUAUCAGCACCGCCGGUCCAAACAUGCCCGCUGAUACCAAAACACAAAGUCUAGUCAUAACCAAACAGCCGGGGACCAGCAGGAAGGAAGCGAGCUCGGUCCGCGGAAGAGAAGGAGACGGCGUUCCGCCGCAUCAAUCGGUAACUUUCGAUGGUUUCAGGUGUCGAGGGUCACGCUUCAAAGGACUCGCUCGCACUCCAGAGGGUAAACAGUGACAUGGAUGUUUUGAAUAGCCGGCAUUCCUGGAGGCUUGCUCGCCAAGCUCAGAGGUGAGCCUCGUCAAGCGCUGAGAUCAUUCCAAGACAAACGUGUCAGUGUGCGCGGCAUGGUGGGAAGUGUCCUGCCUGUCAUUUGUCUUGCAGAAACGGCUCCGGACCAGCAGACAUUCCUUCACAUCUGUAAUCCUUAAUACUACUCACUGGCAGGCCCGUACUGGACGGCGUACUUCACAUCAUGGUCUAGAUCUUCAUCGGUGUGCGGGCACACGUACGCUGGAUACGGUCUCUCCGUAAACAGCCACUGUCCUCUGCGCGACGCGGCGGAUCAAAAUCUUGAUUCGCCUUUCAGACACCUGACGAUGUUCAUCUGCAACCAGACGUUGUAAACAUGUAGCAGGUGAAUACGUGAUGGAUGGUGGCAGACCGGAGUCAAAGAGGACACAGGGAAAGUGUUUUUAUGCACGUCCACCGGGACCACAUACUGAGAUACUAGAAGUACUUAUCAUGAUGGAGCCAGACGUGUGGCUCUAAACAAUUAACUUUAGGAUAGGUG